UACUUGAGCACAUCUCUGUAUUCUAAUGUCUCUCUGUCAAGAUUCUCUCACUCUCUCUCUUUCAGUCAACCUCUGUCUCUGGCUAAUUAAUGAACUGAAGCAGACGUGACAAUGAUAGAACGGUUAUAUCACUCAAGAGCAAAUGCGAGAUGACUAGAGGAGAUUAUUUACACAUUGUGAGCGUGAACACAUGCACCUAAAAUGAAUGCAGUGACAAAUUGCUCCAGUAACCCAACAACGCCAAAAGCUUUCAGAUUUACAAGCAUUAGUGUAAAGAAUCUGCUCUGUUUAAUCGAACCUUCAGGUUUAAGUAAACAAAAACGUUUGUGUCUCAUAAUUAUCUGUAAAAGGGUAUCAAUUUAUAUUUGUUUUCAUAUUAUAACAGGAAGAAAGUCAUACACCUGAAGGGCGCAAUCUGUGCAGGAACAGGUCGGCAUCUCCGCAAUUUGAUCCUACACUUAAUCAGGUAGUGUGAAAUGAACAGUGUGACGGACAGCGCAGAGGACUGUGACAGAAGAGCACAGGUCUAUACAGGCUGAGAGUGAUUCUCUGUGACUGAGCGUUUGGAACGUGUCUGGCGGACCGCCGUGCGUCCUCUUGCACCCGUCAACGGGAGUGUCAGCGUGAAACCUCCGGUAAUCAGCUCACGCUGCACCUUGCGUCCUGUUUUCUCCACAGGAGAACGAAAUAGGGAACGCCUGAGUGAACCCAUAACCUGAACAGAAUCACGCUUUGACAGCUACACAGGAAAAGCACCCGAGCCACGGGCGAAUACAACAAUCCACCACAACCUACUUCGCACUCUGGAGUCAUGCGGGCAAUUUGCAUGCACAACGUUUCUGUCUUUCGGUCCGUCUCGCCAAUAUCAAUCGUUUUCCACAUGCAACACAUUCAGUCAUUUGUUAAAGAUUUUAAAAAUGGAAAAAUGUGGGAGUGCAUCAGCUCUCGAUGGUUUGCAAACCCAAGGUUAUGCGAAUUAUUUGCAGAAUCUGUUUUACAUUAUUGUAUAAAGGAUUCAGAUAGAUCCUUUUCUGAUCACAAUUCUCACGCUCUGUUUUGCCAGUCAGGCUUUGUGAACCAUCUGGAGCGUUGCUCUGACAACGGGGGAGGAUGUCAUGGUAACAUUAACGGGGGUUACCCAGGAAACUGUAGUCGCCAUGGAGACUGCAUCACAAGGCGGACUCAAGGCGUGAUCUCUCUCAGUCUUUCAGUCUCCGUUCUCGUAGUCUGCCAUUCCGCCGAGUCCAACGGCUUUUUUUUUCACCAACCAUCCGAGCCAUCGUUUCAGCUGCUUCUUUUUUUCAUAAUUCAAAAGCACUGUGACGUCUCACUUUGAGGGGAAAGUGUGAACACUAUUUUUAGGCUAGAUGUGAUUUGAGUUUUACAUAAUCUGGAGAUAACUAUAUCUUCGCACAACGAAUAACUUGAUCACAAAAUAAAGAUCUAUUUCCUUUCAUUGAGUGCAAACCAAUUUCAUUUGGUACAGUAAAGUCAAAUUCAAUAGACACACAUAGCUUUGAUUACAUUAUUAAUAAAACGUAUUGGUUUUUUUUCUUCACAUUAAUUGAGUCUGCACUGGGUGAUUCUUGAAUUAGGGGAACUUUUUGACUACUUUUUAAUCUAUGUUAAUAUGCUAUUUAUCAUGGAAUAAAGAUCAGAUGACCUUAAUAACCUUGAGAAAAAGUUAGUCCGUUAUAAGCCAAUUAACCUAAUUUAAAAACACAUAAUAAAUGGAUUGUUUUAGAAAUAAAACAAUAUCUACACCAAAUAGAAAUCCACUCUAACUCUAAAAAUGUAUGAUAUUCUGUCACAUAUUAUCAUAACCAAGUAGAAACAUUUUUUUUUUUUGGAAAGACUUUGCUGUCCCCAAUACUGCUGUAAAAAAAAAAAAUUCUAAUGUUACACAAACAGCAAAAGAAUUAAAAAAAUAUGGUUUAUUUUAAGUUACAUUUUAUAUAGAUUUAUGGUAGACAAGAUAAAAAGUCAUGGUUGGAGACAAUUCUGGCAAAUUAAAUGAGGAGAUCAACAGUUACAGUGCCCGCCCACUUUUUCAGCAGCGCUGGUUCCGGAAGUAUUUUUUCCAUUCAUUUUUCCCAUA
Molecule: non-coding RNA, 2098 nt
Organism: Pimephales promelas (fathead minnow)
Lineage: Eukaryota; Metazoa; Chordata; Actinopteri; Cypriniformes; Leuciscidae
Source: RefSeq, a predicted model, not a curated record